UACGGAAGGGGCGAGCGUUGUCCGGAAUCAUUGGGCGUAAAGGGCGCGUAGGUGGUUCUGUAUGUCUGCCGUGAAAGGGUACAGCUUAACUGUAGCUUGUCGGUAGAAACUGCAGGACUUGAGGCUGGGAGGGGCUGGUGGAAUUCCCUGUGUAGCGGUGAAAUGCGUAGAGAUGGGGGAGAACACUCGUGGCGAAGGCGGCCAGCUAGACCAGUUCUGACACUGAGGCGCGACAGCGUGGGGAGCAAACAGG
Molecule: ribosomal RNA, 253 nt
Filed under: uncultured bacterium
Lineage: Bacteria
Description: partial 16S ribosomal RNA
Rfam family: Bacterial small subunit ribosomal RNA
Source: RNAcentral